Molecule: ribosomal RNA, 198 nt
Filed under: uncultured Leuconostoc sp.
Lineage: Bacteria; Bacillati; Bacillota; Bacilli; Lactobacillales; Lactobacillaceae
Description: partial 16S ribosomal RNA
Rfam family: Bacterial small subunit ribosomal RNA
Source: RNAcentral
UACUCCUACGGGAGGCAGCAGUAGGGAAUCUUCCACAAUGGGCGAAAGCCUGAUGGAGCAACGCCGCGUGUGUGAUGAAGGCUUUCGGGUCGUAAAGCACUGUUGUAUGGGAAGAAAAGUUAAGGUAGGGAAUGACCUUAGCCUGACGGUACCAUACCAGAAAGGGACGGCUAAAUACGUGCCAGCAGCCGCGGUAAU